GAGUGAAGAAUAUGACGGUAACUCAUGAAUAAGGGUCGGCUAACUACGUGCCAGCAGCCGCGGUCAUACGUAGGACCCAAGCGUUAUCCGGAGUGACUGGGCGUAAAGAGUUGCGUAGGCGGUUCAGGAAGCGAAUAGUGAAAGCUCAUGGCUCAACCAUGAAUCCAUUAUUCGAACUCUUGAACUCGAGAAUGGUAGAGGUAGCUGGAAUUUCGUGUGUAGGAGUGAAAUCCGUAGAUAUACGAAGGAACACCAAUGGCGUAGGCAGGCUACUGGACCAUUUCUGACGCUGAGGCACGAAAGCGUGGGGAGCGAACCGGAUUAGAUACCCGGGUAGUCCACGCCGUAAACGAUGGAUGCUAGCUGUGGGGGGUAUCGACCCCUUCCGUAGCGAAGCUAACGCGUUAAGCAUCCCGCCUGUGGAGUACGGCCGCAAGGCUAAAACAUAAAGGAAUUGACGGGGACCCGCACAAGCGGUGGAGCAUGUUCUUUAAUUCGAUGGUAAACGGUAAACCUUACCAGGGCUUGACAUCCCUAGAAUUUCUCCGAAAGGAGAGAGUGCUUAAUUGAACUAGGUGACAGAUGAUGCAUGGCCGUCGUCAGCUCGUGUCGUGAGAUGU
RNAcentral lists this ribosomal RNA (620 nucleotides) under uncultured bacterium. RNAcentral's name for it is "bacterial SSU rRNA". It matches the Rfam family "Bacterial small subunit ribosomal RNA", at positions 440 to 1075 of the family's 1533-position model. The record is from RNAcentral.